Molecule: ribosomal RNA, 467 nt
Filed under: uncultured bacterium
Lineage: Bacteria
Description: bacterial SSU rRNA
Rfam family: Bacterial small subunit ribosomal RNA
Source: RNAcentral
CGGACGACGCUGGCGGCGUGCUUAACACAUGCAAGUCGAACGGUGACGAGGAGCUUGCUCCUCUGAUCAGUGGCGAACGGGUGAGUAACACGUGAGCAACCUGCCCCAGACUCUGGGAUAACAGUUGGAAACAGCUGCUAAUACCGGAUACGAGACGGAGAGGCAUCUCUACCGUCUGGAAAGUUUUUCGGUCUGGGAUGGACUCGCGGCCUAUCAGCUAGUUGGUGAGGUAAUGGCUCACCAAGGCGACGACGGGUAGCCGGCCUGAGAGGGCGACCGGCCACACUGGGACUGAGACACGGCCCAGACUCCUACGGGAGGCAGCAGUGGGGAAUAUUGCACAAUGGGCGAAAGCCUGAUGCAGCGACGCCGCGUGAGGGAUGACGGCCUUCGGGUUGUAAACCUCUUUCAGCAGGGAAGAAGCGAAAGUGACGGUACCUGCAGAAGAAGCACCGGCUAACUACGUG